GGGUAUAGUUUUUAAUAAGAUUUUAAACAAGCUUAUUUUGUCAGGAUCGUAAGAUAGCAGCAUAAAGUUUGUCUUAAAUAUUUGUAUUAAUGCUAUACCUUUUAUUUUU
Molecule: signal recognition particle RNA, 109 nt
Filed under: Chaetoceros simplex
Lineage: Eukaryota; Bacillariophyta; Thalassiosirophyceae; Chaetocerotales; Chaetocerotaceae
Rfam family: Bacterial small signal recognition particle RNA
About the family: The signal recognition particle (SRP) is a universally conserved ribonucleoprotein involved in the co-translational targeting of proteins to membranes. Archaeal SRP consists of a 7S RNA and homologues of the eukaryotic SRP19 and SRP54 proteins. In most bacteria, the SRP consists of a 4.5S RNA and the Ffh protein (a homologue of the eukaryotic SRP54 protein).
Source: RNAcentral